RNAcentral lists this transfer RNA (74 nucleotides) under Micromonospora fulviviridis. RNAcentral describes it as "tRNA-Lys". It matches the Rfam family "tRNA". From Rfam's summary of the family: Transfer RNA (tRNA) molecules are approximately 80 nucleotides in length. Their secondary structure includes four short double-helical elements and three loops (D, anti-codon, and T loops). The record is from RNAcentral. Lineage: Bacteria; Bacillati; Actinomycetota; Actinomycetes; Micromonosporales; Micromonosporaceae. RNAcentral also lists the same sequence under 23 other names.
GCGCCGCUAGCUCAACUGGCAGAGCAGCGGACUCUUAAUCCGCGGGUUCGGGGUUCGAGUCCCUGGCGGCGCAC